CGCGCAGGCGGCUUCUCAAGUCAGGGGUGAAAGCCCAGAGCUCAACUCUGGAACUGCCUUUGAAACUGUGAAGCUUGAGUACGGGAGAGGUGAGUGGAAUUCCCAGUGUAGAGGUGAAAUUCGUAGAUAUUGGGAAGAACACCGGUGGCGAAGGCGGCUCACUGGCCCGUUACUGACGCUCAGGCGCGACAGCGUGGGGAUCAAACAGGAUUAGAUACCCUGGUAGUCCACGCCGUAAACGAUGAACGCUAGCCGUUGGGUAGCUUGCUAUUCAGUGGCGCAGCUAACGCAUUAAGCGUUCCGCCUGGGGAGUACGGCCGCAAGGUUGAA
This 330-nucleotide ribosomal RNA is filed under the name uncultured Hyphomicrobiales bacterium. RNAcentral describes it as "bacterial SSU rRNA". It matches the Rfam family "Bacterial small subunit ribosomal RNA", at positions 568 to 898 of the family's 1533-position model. Lineage: Bacteria; Pseudomonadati; Pseudomonadota; Alphaproteobacteria; Hyphomicrobiales. The record is from RNAcentral.